ACUCCAUUGCUUUCUCCACCCGACGUUCCGGUCCUUGAUCGUGCAUCGUCUUCAAGUACAAGAUACUUCAGGGCAUUUUCCGAAUAAAUCAAUACAAAUCCCUCGAGGCAUUCCCCGACCGAAUGAAUACAUAAUUAGUGCGGAAAAAUCAAACUAUUCAACAAAAUUUCAAACAUUCACGGAAUUUUCAACAUUCAACCAAAGCCACAAAUUCUAAACUUUGCCUACCCAAUCUAUGUUUGUCUAAACCAAUCGACGUAUCAUGAUACUAUCAAGUUCAAUUAAUGUUCAUUUCAAGUCAAACAAUCAAUGAAUCAAACUAACCAAAGUUCACCAAUUAUGUUAAGUUUUCAAUUCUCACCCCCAAAUUAAUUUCAACCAACAAUUAACACAUGCUUCGAUUAUCAAAUCAAUUUUGCACUCGAAAUCCAAUAUCAACAACAUAGACAUAACGACAAUUAAAGCAUGCUAAUCAUAUGAAUUUCACAUUAAUGACAUCAAACAUCCACCAAAUCAUUCAAUCUCGAACAUAGCCAAUUCAACAAAUUACGAUAAAGAAGAGAGAAUGGGUUAAAGAAAUGAACCUUUCGAUAAUCAAUUUUGGUUGAUAAUACUAUUGAAGAAGCCCCAAAUUUAGAAUUCCUCAACAGAAAACCUCAACAGCAACACGGUACAACUUGGUAUCGCGGAACUAAGAUCCGAAAUUAACCAAAAUAAAUUGACCGAGUCCAAAAAGUAUCCAAACUUUGAACGAAGACGAAAACUGAUGGAUCAAAAUCGAAAUCGACAUCGAAAAAACCAAACCAGUACACGAUAUUAUUGCAAAAUUGAUUUGAAAUUGGAGCUAACCACCUGUACUGAUUCAAUCAACGAUGGGAAUAAAUUUGGGACUGAUUUUAAUCCAACUGACGACGGACGUUGAUUUCGAUGAGCUCCUAUCCAAAAAUCUCGGAGAAAAGAGAGUAUUUGUGGUAUUUUAGGGCUGAGUAGAUUGGGAUGAUGAACUUGAUGACGAUUCCGGCGAUAUUUCACUGGAAAAACUAAAGAAAAAAUGAUCGAAACCCUCAAAUCCUCUUCAUUUUUUGUUUUGAUUUUUUGCUCAGUGUGUGUGUGCGCGCGCGAGAUUUACUCUGCGUGUGUGCGCAUUGAUGGUGUCUUUUAUGUGAGAGAGUGUGCAAAAAUGGAAGAUGGUCCCUCCCCUCUCCUCUGUGUGAACUGUGCGUAUAUGUAUAUGGUAGUGUGGUGAGUGUGCUUUUCGUUAUUCUUUUCUUUUUAGGUGUUAAUGGAACAUCAAGCUACGUUGGAAUGUUCAUCCAUGGAGGAUUUUAUGUGUAAUUUGUGGGUUGAUGGUGAGAGCCAGAAAAAGAAAAAAAAUGGAGGUUUGUGUAUGGUCAUUUUCGUGAGUGCGAAUGUGAUGAUGAUGAUUUUUGCCAAUUUUCUGUGAGUGUUAUCGUGUUUUUGAAUUGUAUAUGGGUAUUGAUGGAUGGUCCCCUCGUAUUGUUA
Molecule: long non-coding RNA, 1503 nt
Filed under: Capsicum annuum
Lineage: Eukaryota; Viridiplantae; Streptophyta; Magnoliopsida; Solanales; Solanaceae
Description: long non-coding RNA (CANN_LNC010918)
Source: RNAcentral